UUUUUAAUGUAAUCGAGUGCUUUUUGAAUCCUUAAACGGCCUCUGCUGUCUCAGAAAUAAUGGAAUUGGAAAGCUGUGGAGGUGGGCGAUGCUCACACGGACGGACGGAUGGUUUGUUUUGUUGAACCCACCCUGGUGCCUCCGACCAGAAACAGCCCCGGGUGAGGGUGUGGAGGGAGGCGGGGCGGGGGGGGCAGGGCUGUGGGAGGUUAAAGUUUUUGGGGGGGGAUCCCAUAAUCGUGUGAUUUUUAUGAACAUCCACUGCAAAUGCCAGGUGGGAGAAGGCGAGAGGCGACUAGACCCAAGAAAGGGGCUUCCGGUCCGCCACCUGCAAGGACAAAAGAGGGAAGGAAGUAAGAGUAUUUUUUGAUAGCACCAGAAAUUUACAACUUCUGCUUAUCUCCCAUACCCCUCCUUUUCUUUCUCCUCACAGCAUUUAUAACCACCUGAUAAUGUGUAUUUCACAUAUUUAUUGGGUUCUCUCCCCACCGGAUACAAACCUAGGAGAGCUGGGGGUUGCUGUGUCCUGUUCUUCCCUGGAGCCUAGUACAGUACCUGGCAAAGUACUGGAGGCUUUGUAAAUAUUUACUGACAUCGGUGAUUAAGAAGCAGACGUGACACAUUUUUUUAAAGACACCGGGAAGAGGAACACGAAACCAAAAGCCGCCCGACACGCAAGGAGCAUCCAUGUCUUCAAACCCGCUCUUUCCGUUGUGGAACGACAAUUGAUAAGGACAGCCAAGAGAGAGUCAUACCGCCGUUCCAUUUUCCAAAGAAGAACAAGAAAAUAAUUGAGCUCGCGCUUCCAGGGCGCUCUCCCUCCAUUCUGGGGAUUGGUUGUGCGAGUGAGGGGAGCCUCCCGAAAAUCUGUGGGGAACAUGGAAGUCCUUUUCUUUUCCUACGUAACCCUCGGCACAUGCUCACCUGUCUGCUGAGCACGACACGGGGCUUUGGGACAUUCAGAACAGGAGAUACGUGUCAACGUUCCGUAAAUAUUUUUCUGUUCCGGAGUGUCUAGGUCAUGUACAGUACACAUGUGGGGAAUGUGUUUCACAUGAAAAUUAAAUCCCUUUUUUAUACCUGAACAUCCUUUUUAUACCUG
Molecule: long non-coding RNA, 1102 nt
Filed under: Lynx pardinus (Iberian lynx)
Lineage: Eukaryota; Metazoa; Chordata; Mammalia; Carnivora; Felidae
Source: RNAcentral